RNA transcript from Artibeus jamaicensis (Jamaican fruit-eating bat), 1139 nucleotides. RefSeq lists it as uncharacterized. NCBI's taxonomy places the organism in Eukaryota, Metazoa, Chordata, Mammalia, Chiroptera, Phyllostomidae. The record is from RefSeq and is a predicted model, not a curated record. The transcript has 4 exons.
GGACCCCACUGUCAGAUGCUGGUGAUGGAUGGCUCGGGGCACCGACUGCCAGGGCGAUGGAAUGACAGUGCUCCUGUCCGGCCAACAGGCGGUGGAGCCAGAGUCAGAGCGCGGGCUUGGCUGGUGCAGGGCAGGGCGAGGGCCCAGCCACCCAAACAAAGGCCUGUUCACCAGGGCAGGAGGGUUCCGGCUGCGGGCCUGCCGGGCCCCGUGGGGUCCACCCAGGGACUCACAAUGGACAGCCUGUGCCCCGGCCAUCCGAUCCUCCCAGAGCCGCCCUGGGCCUGGCGCCACGGACAAGGAAUCAACAGGGUGCUUUGCAGGACUGACCGCUUCCUGAACAACACGAGGGCCCUCCUCUUCUCUUUUCCUGACCCUCCCCACACACAUACUGUGUAGUCGAGACCACGGCCCCCUGCCCACGGCUCCUUGGAUGAAGAGCAGGGGUCCAGGGGCUGAGAAGAGCCAAUGGAGGGUGAAGGCGAAGGAGGAAGCCUGCCCGGGAGGCUCUGAGGACUUGGUGGAGUGGCUGUUUGGGGCUGACUCAGGGAAGAUGGUGACAGGAAACACACAGAAUCAGCAGAUUCUGUCCCAGUCCUCAGGCACCAGCCCCUGCCCUGACCCCAGGCUGGUGGCCGCCGUGGCUGCAGGCAGGGAGGGGACAGCGAGACCAGAGAAGCCCAGGGCUCAGCAAGAAGAGGCCUCAAGGAGAGCAGGGUCACCAGAUCCUUUGGGUCCUGCCCUGGGAACCUGGGGAGGGAGGCUAUUGCUUCCUGCUGCUGCUGCUUUUUUAGAAAGCCGUGUAUCAACUUUCUUUCAUUUUAGGAAAAAUGCGGAGCAUCAAAUCCAGGACGGCCACGGCUGACUCAGUGGUGAGGCCAGCCUCCAGCCUGCAGAAUGAAAGCCCCGGGCCCAGUUAGAACCUCGCUGUGGUCUGUGGAGCGAGGCAGUUGUGGGCCUGAUCUAACCCGGGGCCCCCUGACUACUUCUGGAGGGGGCAGGGGGUCCAUAGUUUAAGCCCUGUGACCACAUGGUCUGUGUUGUAACCACUCACUCUGCUUCUGUAUCUCAAAACCCAUCACAGGCGACGUGAGUGAACGAUUGUGGCCGUGUGUCAAUAAAACUUCACUUACGGGCCA